Molecule: ribosomal RNA, 119 nt
Filed under: Pteropus alecto (black flying fox)
Lineage: Eukaryota; Metazoa; Chordata; Mammalia; Chiroptera; Pteropodidae
Source: RNAcentral
GUCUACAGCCAUGCCACCCAGAACGCGCCCGAUCCCCUCUGAUCUCAGAAGCUAAGCAGGAUCGGGCCUGGUUAGUACUUGGAUGAGAGACCACUUUGGAAUACCAGGUGCUGUAGGCG